GAGACUGCCAGUGAUAAACUGGAGGAAGGUGGGGAUGACGUCAAGUCAUCAUGGCCCUUACGACCAGGGCUACACACGUGCUACAAUGGCGCAUACAAAGAGAAGCGACCUCGCGAGAGCAAGCGGACCUCAUAAAGUGCGUCGUAGUCCGGAUUGGAGUCUGCAACUCGACUCCAUGAAGUCGGAAUCGCUAGUAAUCGUGGAUCAGAAUGCCACGGUGAAUACGUUCCCGGGCCUUGUACACACCGCCCGUCACACCAUGGGAGUGGGUUGCAAAAGAAGUAGGUAGCUUAACCUUCGGGAGGG
RNAcentral lists this ribosomal RNA (306 nucleotides) under Salmonella enterica. RNAcentral describes it as "bacterial SSU rRNA". It matches the Rfam family "Bacterial small subunit ribosomal RNA", at positions 1145 to 1450 of the family's 1533-position model. Lineage: Bacteria; Pseudomonadati; Pseudomonadota; Gammaproteobacteria; Enterobacterales; Enterobacteriaceae. The record is from RNAcentral.